Macaca fascicularis (crab-eating macaque) is the source of this 148-nucleotide unclassified non-coding RNA. It matches the Rfam family "Metazoan signal recognition particle RNA". Rfam says of the family: The signal recognition particle (SRP) is a universally conserved ribonucleoprotein. It is involved in the co-translational targeting of proteins to membranes. The eukaryotic SRP consists of a 300-nucleotide 7S RNA and six proteins: SRPs 72, 68, 54, 19, 14, and 9. NCBI's taxonomy places the organism in Eukaryota, Metazoa, Chordata, Mammalia, Primates, Cercopithecidae. The record is from Ensembl.
GCCGGGCAUGGUGGUGCAUGCCUGUAAUCCCAGCUACUUGGGAGGCUGAGGCAGGAGAAUCGCUUGAACUCAGGAGGCAGAGGUUGCAGUGAGCUGAGAUCGUGCCACUGCACUCCAACCUGGGUGACAGAGUGAGACUCCAUCUCAA